AUGCAAAGCCGGAAGUCUGUAUUCGCAAAGGCGUGUUUGUGAGCGUGAAUGUGUGAACGGAGAGCGUUUGUGGGAGUGAAUGUAGAGUGAUUGUGUGUUUGUUUCUGGAGUGAGUGUAUAUCUUUGUAAAAACCUACACAGUGAUCUUAUUUGAUCCGGUCAGAGUUCGGCUCUGCUCUGAUCGGAGAUGAUAGGAAAAGCGCUCGCGAGCUUCCGCUAAAGGUGGACAGCGAUGAGCAGCUGGCGAAAAACGAGCUCCAGGGCCUCCACGCUUCGUGCUGUGGUCAGAAGUGAUGAAUUGAUCAGAUAUACUAGUUCUGGGUCAGCUUGAGGUUCGCCUUUAAGCUUCACCUGUGUGGACAAUGAGUAAAGAGGCGAUUCUGAUCUAA
Molecule: non-coding RNA, 389 nt
Organism: Nematolebias whitei (Rio pearlfish)
Lineage: Eukaryota; Metazoa; Chordata; Actinopteri; Cyprinodontiformes; Rivulidae
Product: small Cajal body-specific RNA 2
Exons: 1
Source: RefSeq, a predicted model, not a curated record